CUGUGCUAGGCGGGGGGCUAGCGGUCCCCUCCAUUCCGCAACCCGCUAGAGCGGAGCCGAAGGGCCCCCUGCGGGGCCGCGGGGCUGGACUGCCCCGGAGAAGCGGCGUUGAAGGCUGAGCCCUCUACGGCGCAUGUCGGCGAACCCCGUCAGGCCCGGAAGGGAGCAGCGGUAAACCGGCCCCUGCGGGCGAUAGAGGACCACUUGGCCGGAGCUGGCUCUCCGGAAAGCGCUCGCCCCACGACCUCAAAGGGGCCAAGCACAG
RNAcentral lists this signal recognition particle RNA (265 nucleotides) under Candidatus Acetothermia bacterium. RNAcentral's name for it is "signal recognition particle sRNA large type". It matches the Rfam family "Bacterial large signal recognition particle RNA". Rfam says of the family: The signal recognition particle (SRP) is a universally conserved ribonucleoprotein involved in the co-translational targeting of proteins to membranes. Archaeal SRP consists of a 7S RNA and homologues of the eukaryotic SRP19 and SRP54 proteins. In most bacteria, the SRP consists of a 4.5S RNA and the Ffh protein (a homologue of the eukaryotic SRP54 protein). The record is from RNAcentral. Lineage: Bacteria; Candidatus Bipolaricaulota. RNAcentral also lists the same sequence under 1 other name.